RNAcentral lists this long non-coding RNA (1894 nucleotides) under Bos taurus (domestic cattle). Its description in RNAcentral is "uncharacterized LOC100848703 (LOC100848703)". Lineage: Eukaryota; Metazoa; Chordata; Mammalia; Artiodactyla; Bovidae. The record is from RNAcentral.
CCAGGCACUCUCUCGCGAGAGGGCGGGAGAGCCGCUUCGACGCUGGCGUGGGCCCGACGGGGACGUGUGAGGUCUCCGGAAGGUCCGGCGCUGGCCUUGGCUUCCCGUUUGGGCUCCCUGGACUUGGAAGUGGAGGCGGGUCCCCUCGGCUUGCAGCUGGGGGCCGAUUCCGCGUUCCCUGCUCCCUCCGGACUCUCGGGAUGGCAGGAGAUGAGACAGCGACCGGGGCUGAGGGGCGCUAGGCGCCGCCAGAAGCCCGCGCCUUGGGCCUGGGAAACUCUUAGAGGCGAGCUCCGGCCGCGCGGAACUUGGGUCUUGGCAGGAGCAGGGCUGUCAGUGAGCAGGCGGGAGUUCAAGGCCGCCUGCCGCCUUCGCGCGGAGAAUUUCAUUAGGCGCCGAAGCAAUGUUCCGAUAUCCGCGGGAUUCAGGUGCCCAAGGCCCGCGUCCAGAAGAUCACAGGGGGGCCGCCUGGUGGCAUUGAACCCAGGAGCUGGUACUAGAUGGCCUCUCUCAUGAGAGUAUAUAACCUACUGUGCCCAAGUUACGUCCUCGUGUCUGGGUGACGAUGAUGUAGCCGUUGAAUAUUACGGAGCACACAGAGUUGUCUUUAGCCAUAUAUCUCAGGAAAAUAUUAAUAGACGAGAUCACCCAGCCUUAAAGAGGAUUCUCCGGACCACUGAGAGUUUUCCGAGGAAACCUACCAUACACUGAGUCAUAGAAUGGUUCCAAAAUGUCCAAAAAUAUUGCUUUUUGUGAGGAGUUUUGUUUUCUGAUAACAAGACUGGAGUUUGGGGGUGUUUUGUUUUCUGUUUGAGCGCAUAGUUUGCAAAUUCAAGGACUAUGGCGAGGAAGACAUGGCAUGCCUUAAAUAGUAUGAGGGGAACAACAGAGAACCAAAAGCCCUAGGAAAGGAAAUAAACUGCUCAUUUCAGUCCAUAAAAUGAAAAUGUGGUCAGAGCAAAUUAGUAGUAAAAGCUGAGUAUGCCGAGCUGCAGCAAUUUGCAAAAGCCUUUAAUAGACAAUCAUUUCUGUUGCGGUAGAAAAACUUUAUACAGUUACUGAUAUACCAAGUUAUGUUAGCCAGGGGAAAGAAGGUUACGCACCUGGUUGAAUGUGUGUUCCAGAUAAAUCAUCCCAGAGACUUUUAGAGAGCCUUGGAAAUAUUCCUCUAAUCUACUCUACUUAUCCCAUUUAAAGGAUAGCAUCUGAAGAUUUAAUAACAAAAAACAGUUGAAGAAUUCAAAGCUGGAUAAUCAGAACCUCCAGGUUUGACUCUUGAAGAAGAUGCUACUGUUGGGAAGAGUGGAUGGAUUAUGCAGCCCUGUUUUCUGAGAAUUCAUUUGUUCUUGGAGUUUUUCACUGCUUGCCGCCACUACCACUUGGCCUCAAAGGACAAGCAUGUAACCCUUCCUUUCCUUCAUAUUUUACUGCACAGCUGAGAAGAGACUGAAUUUGGAUCCUUUAGUGGUACAACUGGAAUGUUACAUAGUUUAGAGUAAGAUGGCUUAUUUAAAAGUAUUUUUCUAAGAUGGGGGGUGUUGGGAUGUCCCUGUAGAUUAGUUCCAGAAUGGGGUGUCUGUAUAUACUGUAUUAAUAGGCAUGUUGACUCUUGUAAAGGGACAUUAGUAGCUGCUGCAGGUCCUGUUUGGAAAACUCAUGCACAAUUCCCGGUUUUUUGUAAAGUGUCAGUGCGGGAGACAUUUGACUCUUGUGUUUGUAUCUCCUUUUUAUGAUUGCUGUACUGACCCAUGUCUUUUUGAGGAAGGGGUGAAAAGAGAUUUGAAAUAAAAAUGUUUAGAAAUUUAAAAAAAAAAGUAUUUUUCUAAUAGGAGAUAGAAACUGGAUAUUAACAAAAUAAGGGUACUCUUAUGUACAAAAUACAACUACUUACGGU